AACGGUUGGAAACGACCGCUAAUACCCCAUAUGCCGAGAGGUGAAAUGAAUUUCGCCUGAGGAUGAGCCCGCGUCUGAUUAGCUAGUUGGUGUGGUAAUGGCGCACCAAGGCUUCGAUCAGUAGCUGGUCUGAGAGGAUGAUCAGCCACACUGGGACUGAGACACGGCCCAGACUCCUACGGGAGGCAGCAGUGGGGAAUUUUCCGCAAUGGGCGAAAGCCUGACGGAGCAACGCCGCGUGAGGGAUGAAGGCCUCUGGGCUGUAAACCUCUUUUAUCAAGGAAGAAGAUCUGACGGUACUUGAUGAAUAAGCCACGGCUAAUUCCGUGCCAGCAGCCGCGGUAAUACGGGAGUGGCCAACGUUAUCCGGAAUUAUUGGGCGUAAAGCGUCCGCAGGCGGCCUUGAAAGUCUGUCGUUAAAGCGUGGAGCUUAACUCCAUUUCGGCGAUGGAAACUACAAGGCUAGAGUGUGGUAGGGGCAGAGGGAAUACCCGGUGUAGCGGUGAAAUGCGUAGAUAUCGGGAAGAACACCAGUGGCGAAGGCGCUCUGCUGGGCCAUAACUGACGUCA
Molecule: ribosomal RNA, 570 nt
Filed under: Synechococcus sp. BAC 104
Lineage: Bacteria; Bacillati; Cyanobacteriota; Cyanophyceae; Synechococcales; Synechococcaceae
Description: bacterial SSU rRNA
Rfam family: Bacterial small subunit ribosomal RNA
Source: RNAcentral